This 509-nucleotide small RNA is filed under the name Pan troglodytes (chimpanzee). Its description in RNAcentral is "processed transcript". The record is from RNAcentral. Lineage: Eukaryota; Metazoa; Chordata; Mammalia; Primates; Hominidae.
UGGCGCCGCGACCAGUGUAUCGGGGGUCUUGGAAAUGGCUAAGAAAGCUGGCCUCUGCCUAGGAGGCUCUCGGCAGGGGUCUGCCAAUCCCGGGAUGGUUACCGGAAAUGAACCGCGCGAUCUGGCCCCUUCACACCCACUUAGCUUUGUAGGGGAAAAAGAACAGCAAGAAGCGAUUGAACACAUUGAUGAAGUACAAAAUGAAAUAGACAGACUUAAUGAACAAGCCAGUGAGGAGAUUUUGAAAGUAGAACAGAAAUAUAACAAACUCCGCCAACCAUUUUUUCAGAAGAGGUCAGAAUUGAUCGCCAAAAUCCCGAAUUUUUGGGUAACAACAUUUGUCAACCAUCCACAAGUGUCUGCACUGCUUGGGGAGGAAGACGAAGAGGCACUGCAUUAUUUGACCAGAGUUGAAGUGACAGAAUUUGAAGAUAUUAAAUCAGGUUACAGAAUAGAUUUUUAUUUUGAUGAAAAUCCUUACUUUGAAAAUAAAGUUCUCUCCAAAGAAU